Long non-coding RNA from Pristis pectinata (smalltooth sawfish), 3113 nucleotides. RefSeq lists it as uncharacterized. The record is from RefSeq and is a predicted model, not a curated record. Lineage: Eukaryota; Metazoa; Chordata; Chondrichthyes; Rhinopristiformes; Pristidae. The transcript has 3 exons.
CGGGCUGCAAUGGAGACGCGAAGAGGCGGGUGGUUGCGGCGUCAGGCCGAGUGUUUGUUGCCGUCCCUGAUCGCCCUUCAGCUGUGUGUCCCGUGGGGGUAACACCCCCCCAUCCUUCUUCUCUUCUUCCCUUUCCUAGCCUCCUACCCUUUUUUUCCCUCUCUCCUUACCUUUGACCCAUCCCCCGGUGGAUCUGCUCUCCCCUCCUUCCCUGCACCUGCCCGUCACUAUCUCUAACCUGCAUCCACCUAUCACCACCCUGUGCCCACCCCGCCUCCCCUCUUUUGUCCACCUAUCACUGCUCUGCUUUUCACUCCUAUAUAUUGGGCUUCGCCUUUUCCUAUCUUCAGUCCUGAAGAAGGGUCCUGACCUGAAACAUUUUCUCCACGGAUGCUGCCUGACCUGCUGAGUUCCUCCAGCAUCAUCGUGUUUUUCAUCAAGAUUCCGAUAUAAUUUGAGGUGAAAGCCAUGAUUUAACUGCAGAAAAUUAUUACAAUCCGAGACCAUGUUAUUCGGGAGGAAGAGGAGAGAAAACAGACCUUGCACGUCACCACUAAAGAACAGGAGGAUUUUGUGAUCAGGAAUUUGGUGAGUGUGGGGAAAAGUGCUGCUUUUGUCUCUCCAAUACUUGGUGUUUCAUUAACUUCAAACAGGAAAUAUUUAAUUAAGUGAAAAUCAAAAAACUGCCCGCCCUUUGUUUUAUGCACAGAGUCCUCCAGAUGUCUCUGUAACUGCAACAUUGUGUAGUCUCCAUUCAUUUAAAUAGUAAUUCACUUUAUCAUUCUUCCUUUCUCAUGAUUUUCCCACAUUGUAAUUUAUCUGCCAACCACUUGCCCACUCACCUACUGUAUCUACAUCCCUUUGCCAGCCCUGUGUUGUCCUCACAGCUUGCUUACCCGACUAUCCAUGUAACAGAGGCAAACUUGGCUAUAGAACACUCAUAUUAAUACAAAUUAUAAAUAGUUGAGACCCCAGCACUGAUCCCUGUGGCACCCCACUAGUUACUGACUGCCAAUCCAAAAGUGACCCAUUUAUCUUGGCUCUGUUAGUUAGUCAAUCCUCCAUCCAUGCCAAUAAAUUACCCCCAGUCACUCACACUCCUGUGCACCACUGUUUUAUGUGGCAUGUUAUUGAAUACCUUCCUGAAAUCCAAAUACUAGAUCUUCUAGUUCUUCUUUAUGCACCCUGUGUGUUACAUCCUUUAAGCAUUCUAGAUUUGGAGAGGUAAGUACGAGAGGACAUGGCUUUAGGGUGAAAGGGGAAAGGUUUAGGGGGAACAUUAGGGGGGAAACUUCUUCACUCGGAGAGUGGUGGGAGUGUGGAACGGGCUACCAUCUGACGUGGUAAAUGCGGGCUCACUCAAGUUUUAAGAAUAAAUUGGAUGGAUACAUGGAUGGGAGAGGUCUGGAGGGUUAUGGACUGGGUGCAGGUCAAUGGGACUAGCAGAAUAAAGUUUCGGCACAGACUAGAGGGGCCAAGUGGCCUGUUUUCUGUGCUGUAGUGUUCUAUGGUUCUACAGAAUGUGUCAAAUAUGCUUUCCCCUUCACAAGACAUCAUAGAGUCAACGUUUUUAUUGACUUUGUAAAUGUCCUGCUGUUACCUCCUUCAUAAUGGAUUCCAGCAUUUCCCCAAUGGCAGCUGUGAGCUUAAAUGACCUAUGUAUUAAGGGUUGGCUUAGUGGAGAUGUUUAAAGUAAUUAAAUGAUUUGUACAAAGGACAUAGGAACCAUUUCCUUUGUUGGGAGAGGAAGGAGCAAGUGGGCAUAACCUUACAAGUUAGAGUAGGAGUGAAGUCAGGAAGUACUUCACAAAAAGUGCUGGAAAUCUCUCUCCAUUUCACAAAAAAAAGUUGAGGCUUUGUCAAUGGAAAAAAAAAUGAGAUUGAUAGAUAUUUGCUUAACAAGAGCAUGAAUGGUUAUGGAACCAAGGUGAGUAGACAGUUCCUGUUCUUCUAAGAACAUUACAUUUGUCAAAUAUAAAAGAUGAAAAUAUGGAUUUAUACAGAAGGCAAGCUGAAGGUUGGAGUAGGUUAUGUUAGGAGGUACAAAAGCCAAACACUGGAGAUGCUGGAAUCAUGAAAAGCACGAGAAAAUUUUGUAAACAAGUCAGGCAGUUGUUCUGAUGAAGAGCUAUUGAUCUGAAAUGAUGACUGUUAAUGCCUGCCCCACGGAGUGUUUCCAGCAUUUUCUGUUUUAGUUCGGGCAGCAUCUGCACGAAGGUAUAAAACACAAUAUUUCAGAUCAGAGCUUUCACUAGGACCACUGAAUUGAAACAAUGAGAUCUUUCAGGAUAGCCCCAGGUUUGGUAUUUCACCAGGAGCCUGGCUCCCAGCAUGUUGACAUGGUGGCAUCAUUGGGGUUAUCUCAGCAGGGAUGGCCAACUGCACCCAGAGAAGGACUUUAAUAGUUCAUGGGUUCCACCCCCAGCAUAGCAGCUGACAAAGCUGUAACUGAACUUGUAUUUCGUCUUAAGAUUCAAACAUUCAAAAUCACUCAGGAUCUAUUCAAAAAGUUAUGACUAGAUAACAUACAGACUUAAAAACAAUUAUAAAGAUUUAAACCAACAUUAAUUAAAAAGGUUUACUUAACUUUUCCCUGGCAGGUGAUUUCUCCUAUUCAUAUGGGAAUCACUGGUGUACUUGCUCCAGGUUUACUCAGAGCUGACAAGUCUGCAGACAGUCCAUGGAGGCCAGGUGCAGACAGUGGUACUGGACUAAGGAGUUCCGCUGAAAAAUGCAGGCAAUUCCUGGCAUCAGGAUGGAUGAUCUGCUUUCCGCUCAGACACGACCUGACCUACUAAAUGUUUCCAAAAGCUGAUAUCCUGGAGGGGAAUGAUAACUGUCAGUGUACAGUGGCUGCAGUUUGCAGCAUGGAAAAGAUACACCCCAGCAAAUCACUGAGGUUUCCAAAUGCAUAACCUCAAGUAUUCAAAGGGACAAAAGCGGGUCAACAGGGAAUACUAUCAGGUGGAAGUUAAGUCACACACAUUUCUGGUUUGGUUGUACUGGAAUGAAAUUCUGGAAUACCCCAAAUAUUGUGGAAACACCAACAUAUGGACUGCAUCAGUUCAAGGCUAAAUCCACACCACCCUUGCAAGGGAAUCAGGAAGAGGAAA